RNAcentral lists this ribosomal RNA (797 nucleotides) under uncultured Methanothermobacter sp. Its description in RNAcentral is "bacterial SSU rRNA". It matches the Rfam family "Archaeal small subunit ribosomal RNA", at positions 85 to 879 of the family's 1478-position model. Lineage: Archaea; Methanobacteriati; Methanobacteriota; Methanobacteria; Methanobacteriales; Methanobacteriaceae. The record is from RNAcentral.
ACUGAUCAGUAACACGGGACAACCUACCCUUAGGACCGGGAUAACCCCGGGAAACUGGGGACAAUCCCGGAUAGGUGAAGUGGCCUGGAAUGGUGCUUCACUGAAAGGCUCUUCGGAGCGCCUAAGGAUGGGUCUGCGGCCGAUUAGGUAGUUGGUAGGGUAACGGCCUACCAAGCCGAUAAUCGGUACGGGUUGUGAGAGCAAGAGCCCGGAGAUGGAACCUGAGACAAGGUUCCAGGCCCUACGGGGUGCACCAGGCGCGAAACCUCCGCAAUGCACGCAAGUGCGACGGGGGGACCCCAAGUGCCACUCUUAACGGGGUGGCUUUUCAGGAGUGUAAAAAGCUCCUGGAAUAAGGGCUGAGCAAGACCGGUGCCAGCCGCCGCGGUAACACCGGCAGCUCGAGUGGUUGCCGCGUUUAUUGGGCCUAAAGCGUCCGUAGCCGGUCCGAUAAGUCUCUGGUGAAAGCCCACAGCUCAACUGUGGGAAUCGCUGGAGAUACUAUCGGACUUGAGGCCGGGAGAGGCUGGAGGUACUCCCAGGGUAGGGGUGAAAUCCUAUAAUCCUGGGAGGACCACCUGUGGCGAAGGCGUCCAGCUGGAACGGACCUGACGGUGAGGGACGAAAGCCAGGGGCGCGAACCGGAUUAGAUACCCGGGUAGUCCUGGCCGUAAACGAUGCGGACUUGGUGUUGGGACGGCUUUGAGCUGUCCCAGUGCCGAAGGGAGGCUGUUAAGUCCGCCGCCUGGGAAGUACGGCCGCAAGGCUGAAACUUAAAGGAAUUGGCGGGGGAGCAC